GUCGAGCGGUAAGGCCUUUCGGGGUACACGAGCGGCGAACGGGUGAGUAACACGUGGGUGAUCUGCCCUGCACUUCGGGAUAAGCCUGGGAAACUGGGUCUAAUACCGGAUAUGACCUCCUAUCGCAUGGUGGGUGGUGGAAAGAUUUAUCGGUGCAGGAUGGGCCCGCGGCCUAUCAGCUUGUUGGUGGGGUAAUGGCCUACCAAGGCGACGACGGGUAGCCGACCUGAGAGGGUGACCGGCCACACUGGGACUGAGACACGGCCCAGACUCCUACGGGAGGCAGCAGUGGGGAAUAUUGCACAAUGGGCGAAAGCCUGAUGCAGCGACGCCGCGUGAGGGAUGACGGCCUUCGGGUUGUAAACCUCUUUCAGCAGGGACGAAGCGCAAGUGACGGUACCUGCAGAAGAAGCACCGGCUAACUACGUGCCAGCAGCCGCGGUAAUACGUAGGGUGCAAGCGUUGUCCGGAAUUACUGGGCGUAAAGAGUUCGUAGGCGGUUUGUCGCGUCGUUUGUGAAA
Molecule: ribosomal RNA, 521 nt
Filed under: Rhodococcus qingshengii
Lineage: Bacteria; Bacillati; Actinomycetota; Actinomycetes; Mycobacteriales; Nocardiaceae
Description: bacterial SSU rRNA
Rfam family: Bacterial small subunit ribosomal RNA
Source: RNAcentral